UCUCUUGGAGUUAUACUAAUUGAA
RNAcentral lists this small nuclear RNA (24 nucleotides) under Arabidopsis thaliana (thale cress). RNAcentral describes it as "snRNA_02781". Lineage: Eukaryota; Viridiplantae; Streptophyta; Magnoliopsida; Brassicales; Brassicaceae. The record is from RNAcentral.